UGUCGAGCAUGGCAGAUUUUACAGGACCUCCAAUCACACGUGGGUGACAAUAGAGAGGAUACAGUUUGUAGGAGCGUGUAACCCACCGACUGACUGGGGAAGGAAACCACUGUCUCACAGCUGUGAAGGAAAUUAAGAAAUCCCACCUGGUUGAAGUGAGGGCUCUGAACAACCCCCAUCAGGUCAUCAAGAUGGCACUGGAAAGCACCAGCAUGCUAAUCGGAGAACCUUACACUGACUGGAAGAGUAUCAGACAGAUUAUAAUGAAGGAGAACUUUAUAACACGUUAGUAAGGCUGUGGGCCUUUGGUGAAGUGGGCCAUUGCUCAGAGAGUUUCAGCUGAUUCUGAUUAAAU
Molecule: long non-coding RNA, 355 nt
Organism: Amphimedon queenslandica
Lineage: Eukaryota; Metazoa; Porifera; Demospongiae; Haplosclerida; Niphatidae
Exons: 3
Source: RefSeq, a predicted model, not a curated record